Molecule: long non-coding RNA, 350 nt
Organism: Osmerus eperlanus (European smelt)
Lineage: Eukaryota; Metazoa; Chordata; Actinopteri; Osmeriformes; Osmeridae
Exons: 3
Source: RefSeq, a predicted model, not a curated record
GGAUUGCCUGGGUUUCCAGGGGCUCGAGGUUUCAAAGGUCCAAAAGGGGACAUCUACAUAAUGGAUAUCAAAGGAAAGAAGGGAGCAAUGGGCCCCUGAGGGCCUCCUGGUCAACAGGGAGCCACAGGAAUGAGGGGACAAGAUGGUUUCUCAGGCGCACCUGGCGAUGAAGCCCCAGAGGGGGAUAGCUAUCCAGGGUUUCCUGGUGAGAGAGGCUAUCCAGGAUUCGAUGGGCCUAAAGGGUUCCCCGGGCCCGCUGGUUCCCCAGGUUUGGAUGUCAUAGGUGCUGUGUGACUCAGGGGGCCCCCGGGGGAUGCGGGACCCCCAGGAUUCAGGGGGCCUGUUGGCCC